UUAAGCAAUGGAUGGCCUGCCGAGAUA
Molecule: small RNA, 27 nt
Filed under: Bombyx mori (domestic silkworm)
Lineage: Eukaryota; Metazoa; Arthropoda; Insecta; Lepidoptera; Bombycidae
Description: ovarian small RNA-9283
Source: RNAcentral